This is a long non-coding RNA of Dermochelys coriacea (leatherback sea turtle), 826 nucleotides long. RefSeq lists it as uncharacterized. The transcript is spliced from 3 exons. Lineage: Eukaryota; Metazoa; Chordata; Testudines; Dermochelyidae. The record is from RefSeq and is a predicted model, not a curated record.
UGGGACUUGUAGUUCUCUUUCCUUCACGGGCGCCCCUCAGGAGCUGGGGCGUAGAGCGGGCUCAGCUCCUCUGUUGAGCCAGACUCUGGUGUCACGACUUCAUGACACGGAAGUGCCAACAUGGGCAUCCUGACAGGGCAGUGGCGGGAAAGCAUUCACCGUCGGGGAUGUCAUUCUGACACAUGAACUCGCUGCGUCAGAUCAGCAUACGGUGUCGACACAGUCUGAUGAUGUCAUAGCAACGUAUGAUGUCAGCACCACAAAGCAUGGUGACGUCAUGUCAAGCACACUACAAAGUGAUAUUUGCCACUUCAGAAUGUUCCCAUGGCACAUGCAAAAGUUCCAGAGUCCCAUGUGAUGUCACUCUGAAACCACGUUGUAGGUGAGAGAUGCUGUACUGAAGCAAGGUGGGGCAGUGUUGAAAUGGGAAGUCAAAUGGAAUGGUGCGUUGUCAUUAAAAGCAUCAUGUCACACCCAUCGUUUCUGCAGCCCAAGUGUUCUGUCAGGAUGUGUCAGUGGUGAGCAAGCUAGUAACACAGAACUUGCCCUAUAAAACAUGACAGUCUGGUCGACAAUACUGUUUAUAAAUUUCAGUUCUUCAGAACUACUUUUGGCUCUGGUCCUGCAAAGACUUAUGCAUGUGCUUAAUUUUAUGCACAGUGACCAAGCUCCUAACACUGCUGGCCCAGGCAUAAGUCCUUGCAGAAUCAGGACCUUUCCUGGUACAUUUUUGUAUCAUCAUCUUUUGCAAAGUGUGUGGAGGGGAGAGGUGUUUUUUUGUCUCUGUUCCAACUGUAAAAAACCGCAAGUGUAUUGAUGUCCGUCA